Long non-coding RNA from Cyprinodon tularosa, 2839 nucleotides. RefSeq lists it as uncharacterized. The record is from RefSeq and is a predicted model, not a curated record. The transcript is spliced from 3 exons. NCBI's taxonomy places the organism in Eukaryota, Metazoa, Chordata, Actinopteri, Cyprinodontiformes, Cyprinodontidae.
UGUAAAACAAACAGAAACAGGUGAAAUCUCGAGCACCUUCCUCGUCCUUUCUGUUUCCACCCACUGACUAUAUUAAAACCAUUCCCUGUUAAUAUAUAUAUUUUCUGCUCAUGAAAAGCUCUGUAUGUGUCACGAUAAAGGUGGAGUUGGUUUGUGAGGUCGGCCCCAGCAGAAUUUUACGAGACAAGCUGUGCUGAUAUAUGGCUGAAGGAGACUCCAUUAAAACGCUGGACCUGCGCCAUUUGGGGAAAAUGGAGGUCACUCAUGCUAGGGUCAUGUGACACCUAUAAAAUCAAACUUUUCCCUAAUAUCUGGCCAUAUAUCACCUCUUCCUCGUGUUUUUUAAUGUUUUUUUUUUCAUCUUUCUUCAACUAAUAUUCAAAUCCUAAAAAAAUAGGUAUUGGGUGAGAAUGACAGUUUUUCCAAGAGGUGAAAUGGAUAGGGAGGGGGUGGGGGGUGCUGCAGGUUGUCCAUUUGUGCUUUUCCAUAAGAGAGCUGGGUAAUAUUUAGUUUUUGAUUAAUGUUCCGUAUCAAUCUGCAGAGGAGCAUAGGGAAACGAUCUGUUACGGUGCACUCUUAGAAAGACAAGAACAGCUGCACAGAGAUGUGGUUGACAGUCCCCUUUUUCUGUCACUGUCCUUUCACCUUCCCUUUUUUCCAUCACUCCCUGUCCUUCUUGAUUGAGCCUUUAUUUCUCCCUUUGGGUUUUGUAAUUAAAGUAACUUCAUUCCUUCUUCUGAAUCACCUUACACAUUUAAUUGUCUCUACGCUCUAGUUUUCCACCUGUCAUUUUUUUUUUUGUAAUGAUAUCACACUUAUCUUGUGGGUUUCUUUCCAGCUCCUGUUUCACCUCCUAUAGCAACACCUGCAAACCUAGAGAAACAUACCAUAUCUAUCCUCUACUUUCAUAUUCCUUACUUGUUUUGGAUCCCUUCUCUUUAUGUCUCUUUGGGCUAGGCCGUGUUUCCUAUGUGUCUCCCCCAUUGCUCCCAGCUCCCUAGGGCAUCAUUUCCAGGCUUCAUUUGUUUGAGGGCUUUCUAAUCUGGGCACUAGGACAACCUCAGUCCACCGUGCCCUCGUCAAUCAUCCCUACAGAGGAACAGAGAGAAGGUGAAGAAGGAGUAGAGAGGAGGAGGAAGAAGAGCGGAAGGUGAUGGCAUGAUUAGUUAUCUGUCCUCUUUUGCCCACCCUCCCUAUUCCCAGUGACCACCACUCCCUCCACCUUUCAAAGCUCUCACUUCUUGUAUCUCUCUUAUGCAGUCACAACAUCUAUCUUAACUUCUUCUCUCCCUUUCCCUUCUCCUCUUCCCUGAAUUUGGAGCACCUGCAUGAAGCACCAGCUACCACGCUGUCCACCUCUCUGUCUAUUUUUCUGUCGGAUUGUUUGACCUCAGCUCCAACGGUGGUCUCUUUUGUGUCAGCGGACAAAUGAGGAUGACCUUUUAUUGUAAAACAGACACCUAUUGGGAAGGAUGAAACAGACAGUGUUUAAAUUAACAACAGAGAAAAGAGGAAGAGGGAGGCCUUUUCAAAUGGAGGAAGGGAUGGAGAGAGUGAAAAGUUUUUGAAGUUCUAAUAAUCAUAGAACAGUGUCUGCAUCAAACUAGCAUGGCCACUGUUCAAUAAUAAAGUCCCCUACCUGGCUGGCAGCUAUUGAUGAACAGUGCUGGAACAGUGAGAAGCAGACCUCUUGAACGUGCCCUGGACCCAUCAGUAUGGGUGCAUGAAUAAUAAAUGGCGUUGACAGUGGAGGCCAUAAGAGUAGACAGAGUAUUAUUGCACAUGAAGGUCCAUUCUGAUUUUGAUUAUUUUUAUUCCACGGGGCUCACAAAAGGCCAGGAGACCGUUGGUGAAUAUUCUAAAAGGGCACAGGGCUGAGAUGGGCUUGAUGGGAGGCUUUGAUUUCUGGCUAAUAGCCACUUCAAACAGGCUGGGAUGGCUCUGAGACAGGGGAGGAAGAUGACACAAGGGCUAAAGGACAGAAAGACCCGACACCAACAUAAUGUAGUUCACAGAUUGCACGUAAAGAAGCAGACGGGGAAACUGAUGGACCAUGUGACUUAAAAGUAUUUAUUUAAUAAGCUGGCGCAGAGCCACCGCACUGAUACUGGUGGACAUCUAGGGAGCUAUUGUUGAGAUAGAAACCAAAUGAGAUGGGGAUAUGCACAACAUACUAUCUGGACGACCUGGUCUACUCCAGUGACUGAUAAUCUGCUGCGAGAAUGCUCAGAAGACCACCUGGGAACAUUUGAUCUUUAUUUACCACUUUCUCGGUGAGAUGAAAAAAAAGUGACUCAUGGGAAGAUAAAAGGGACAAGGGACAAUUUUGAAUUGUUAGUUUAAAACAUGUCCAUGUUUUUAUGCGAUUUCCGCACAGGGUUGUUAACACUGAUGAGUUAUUAGCACAACUCUCUGUCUGUUGUCCAUGUUGUGUCUCCUGGCCUCAUUGUUGAGCGAUGUAUAGUGCUGAAUGAUUCCCAUAACCUGUCUCUUGUUUGGACUGUAAUAUGCUUGACAUUUCAUUUGUACUUUUGUGAAGUCCUGGAAAACAGAUUUCUGCAUAUUUUUUUUUGAUACAUACUUCUUUAUUGCUUAAAUUAAGAAAUAUUGAUGAGAGCAAAAUAGUUUUAAUCUGUUUACUGUAUCAUUGAUGUAAGUGUAUGCUGUUACUUGAUUUCAUAAAAUAUGAUAUUUAAAGGUAAUGAAUCAAAGAAAUAUAACUUAAUCAAACUGUGUUGUUACCUUCAUUUAUUAUGUACAUCUAAAGUAAGCAAUUACUGUAAGUAAAUACUAUUUCAUUAUCUUGUUUGCUUAAACUUAUGUAUAAAUAUAUUCAAUA